CAAUGCCCGAAAGGGUGACGAAGCGACGCCGCGUGCGGGAGGAAGGCCUUCGGGUUGUAAACCGCUGUCGGGAGUUAGGAAAUGCAAGGAUGUUAAUAGCGUCCUUGCUUGACUAAGGCUCCGGAGGAAGCCACGGCUAACUCUGUGCCAGCAGCCGCGGUAAUACAGAGGCGGCAAGCGUUGUUCGGAAUUAUUGGGCGUAAAGAGCACGUAGGCGGCUGUGUAAGUCGGUUGUGAAAGCCUUCCGCUCAACGGAAGAACGGCAUCCGAUACUGCAUGGCUUGAGUGUGGGAGGGGAGAGUGGAACUUCUGGUGGAGCGGUGAAAUGCGUAGAUAUCAGAAGGAACACCGGCGGCGAAGGCGACUCUCUGGUCCGUAACUGACGCUGAGUGUGCGAAAGCUAGGGGAGCAAACGGGAUUAGAUACCCCGGUAGUCCUAGCCGUAAACGAU
Molecule: ribosomal RNA, 451 nt
Filed under: Candidatus Brocadia sp.
Lineage: Bacteria; Pseudomonadati; Planctomycetota; Candidatus Brocadiia; Candidatus Brocadiales; Candidatus Brocadiaceae
Description: bacterial SSU rRNA
Rfam family: Bacterial small subunit ribosomal RNA
Source: RNAcentral